UGGGGAAUAUUGCACAAUGGGCGCAAGCCUGAUGCAGCCAUGCCGCGUGUGUGAAGAAGGCCUUCGGGUUGUAAAGCACUUUCAGCGAGGAGGAAGGGUAGUGUGUUAAAAGCACAUUGCAUUGACGUUACUCGCAGAAGAAGCACCGGCUAACUCCGUGCCAGCAGCCGCGGUAAUACGGAGGGUGCAAGCGUUAAUCGGAAUUACUGGGCGUAAAGCGCACGCAGGCGGUUUGUUAAGUCAGAUGUGAAAUCCCCGCGCUUAACGUGGGAACUGCAUUUGAAACUGGCAAGCUAGAGUCGUGUAGAGGGGGGUAGAAUUCCAGGGGUAGCGGUGAAAUGCGUAGAGAUCUGGAGGAAUACCGGUGGCGAAGGCGGCCCCCUGGACAAAGACUGACGCUCAGGUGCGAAAGCGUGGGGAGCAAACA
RNAcentral lists this ribosomal RNA (427 nucleotides) under uncultured bacterium. RNAcentral's name for it is "partial 16S ribosomal RNA". It matches the Rfam family "Bacterial small subunit ribosomal RNA", at positions 355 to 774 of the family's 1533-position model. The record is from RNAcentral.